This is a non-coding RNA of Cajanus cajan (pigeon pea), 3685 nucleotides long. The record is from RefSeq and is a predicted model, not a curated record. Lineage: Eukaryota; Viridiplantae; Streptophyta; Magnoliopsida; Fabales; Fabaceae.
CAUCCCAACCAAAGCUUCCAUUUCCCACCCCACCAAGAAUGCCUCAACCCAGAGCCCCCCGUUUCCCGACUCUCUUCCUCCUCCGCACCCUUCCCCACUCCCACUCCCACCGCCGCAGCAUCUACGACGGCACCCUGAAACCCCUCCGCGACCGCGGCCUGGACCACGCCGUGGAGCGCGAGAAGAAUCUGAAACCCUUACACGCCCUCAAAACCCUCAUCGCCCUCGAACCCUCCAAGUCCCUCCCCCUCUCCCUCCUCAAGCGCUCCCCCCAGCUCCCCUUCCGCCCCAUCGACUUCAUCCGCCAAUACCCCUCCGUCUUCCACGAGUUCCUCCCCACCGCCGCCGCCACCCUCCCCCACGUCCGCCUCACCGCCGAGGCCCUCCGCCUCCACGCCGACGAGCACCUCCUCCUCCACUCCGACGGCUUCAAGCGCCACGCCGCCGACAGGCUCCUCAAGCUCCUCAUGAUCGCCAGAGUCCACAAACUCCCCCUCCCGCUCCUCGACCGCCUCCGCUGGGACCUCGGCCUCCCUCCCGCCUCCGCCGAGACCCUCGCCCCGGAGUUUCCGGACUGCUUCCGGGCCGCCGCCGGCUUCCUCGAGCUCGUCUGCUGGAGCCACGACCUCGCGGUUUCGGUUCUGGAGAACCGAAACCGUGAAAGAAAGGGUGAGUUGCUAUCGCGUGUGGUUUUUCCUGUGCAGUUUUCCAAUGGUUUUGAGAUGGAUAAGAAGUAUGAGAAGUGGUUGAGGGAGUGGCAGCAGGUCCCCUAUGUGUCUCCUUAUGAGAAUGUGUCGCAUUUGAGAGGGUCUAGUGAUGAGUAUGAUAAGUGGGUUGUGGGUGUGUUGCAUGAGAUUCUUCAUGUUUUUGUUGGGAAGAAGGUUGAGAAGGAUUGUUUGUUGGAGCUUGGGGAGUGGUUGGGGUUGAGGGCUAGGUUUAAGAGGGCGAUUUUGCAGCACCCCGGGAUUUUUUAUGUGUCGAGUAAGAGUGGGACGUAUACGGUUGUUUUGAGGGAGGGGUACCGGAGGGGUUCGCUGGUUGAGGAUAAUCCGGUGGUGAGUUUGAGGAACCAGUAUGUUCAUUUGAUGAACAGUGUUAGGGAGGAGGGAAAAGUGGGGAAGGUUGUGCAGGGGAAGGGUGGCGUGGAUGAGGCGAAGGCGAAAGGCGUUGAAGGGGGAGGAGAGGGAGAGGGUGGUGGUGAGAGUGGGGAGGCGAGUGAAGAGGAGGUGGUUGAUGAUGAGGAUGCUAGUGAAAUGGAUGUUGGUGAUGAUGAUGAUGAUAUUGAUGAGAAGAGGUCUCGGAGAGGUGGUGGUAACAUUGGUUCCAGUAGAAGGGGCAGAGAGUUUGGGAAAGUGAAGUUGGAUGUUGACAAGCCUUUGAGAGAUUCACGGAGGGAAAGAUCGCCUUUGAGAGAUUCACGGAGGGAAAGUUCACCUUUGAGAGAUUCACGGAGGGAAAGAUCGCCUUUGAGAGAUUCACGGAGGGAAAGUUCACCUUUGAGAGAUUCACGGAGGGAAAGAUCGCCUUUGAGAGAUUUUCAGAGGGAAAGAUUGCCUUUGAGAGGUUCUCAUAGGGAAAGAUCACCUUUGAGAGAUUCUCAGAGGGAAAGGGGCAGAGAUUUUGGGAAAGUGAAGUUAGAAUCUGACAAGCCUUUAAGAGAUUCACGGAGAGAAAGAUCACCUUUGGGAGAUUCUCAGAGGGAAAGGUCGCCUUUGAGAAAUUCUCGGAGGGAAAGAUCAUUUGGAAAAACCGGGGAGAAGAACUCGUUAGAAUUUUCUAAAAGAAGACAAGUGCGAGGUGCACGUAAAGAUGUUGAUAGUACACACCAGAGAUCAAGGUCCUCUGAAGGCAGGGGAAUGUCAUUAACCAGCAAGAAAGCCCCUGUUUUGUAAAGAUUCAAUUUGUUUCUGGCAACUAAUACAUUUUCUGGUAUGUGGUUCCUUCACUUGGUCCUUCCCUGUUGUAAGUUUGCGAAUUAAGGUUAAUUUUGUUUAUUUGUUUUGUUGUUGCUGCUUUUUCUUUAUUCAAUAUAAUGUUAGGACAAUAGGACCUUUAGUUGAGUGAUGGAUGUGCCCUAUGUUCAUGGGCCAAUUGUUGGUGACUAGCUUUAGUGGCUUUUGUAGCAGCAAAGAGGCUAAUGUUAUGUUGCAAAUGUGUGAUCUAAGCUACUACCUUUUGGCAUAAUUUUAAGGUUUAUUGGUUUAGAAGUUGAUUUUAGGUGAGAUUAGGCAAUUGCUUGUAUUUGGUGUAAAGCACAUUAUCUUUUUAAGGGGGUUUCCUAACAGAAAUGCAUAGAGAUGUUGUAGCUUUACUCCUGUGAUGUCUUCUCCUUUUUAUUGUUUAUUUUCCUUUUUAUUCGUUAUCAAGUGUGCCUUAUAAGCUACAAUAUUUCUAAUUUGUUCUGUUUUAAUGAAUUGGUAAAAAGUAUUCAAUAUAUAAACAAUUAGACAUUCAUCUGGAUAAGUAUGUUCAGUGAGUUACUAAUACUAGGGGAUAAUUACUUCAUUUUAGCACUGUUCUUGAGUUGCAAAAAUUCAUUACUGAGAAUUCUAUUCUAAUGUUUUAACCCCCUCCUAUCCCGGAAAAAUAAAUUACUCUGUUUAUAGUUACCAUCAAGGAAAGGAUGCACUUGCAAUGUGUUGGAGAUUCCAUGUAAUGGCAUCUGCAUCUCAUUCAGUGUGAUAGGGAAAAAAAUUCUUUGAUUGUAUGAACAAUUUAUGUAUAUUUCCAUGUUUAUGGAAAAAAGAGAAAGGGAGAGAGAGGUGAUGUGCUAGAUCCUUAAAUUGAUUGGGUGUUUCACUAUUAGGAGUUAAAUUAUGAAAUGUUCCUUGAAGGUUCUGUUCUAUUGCAUAGAAGAGAUUUUAAGAUCUGGUGGGGAUUGGUCGAAUUUUACCAAGAUGAUGCAGCACUCUUUUAGGUACAUGUUAGUGAGGGGAUGAGUUAGUUAAUUGUUAGAUUCAGUUAGUUCUUGGUAAACUUGUAAUUAGGGGGCUGGAAAAUAAGAAGGCAUAUUGCCUAAAAUUAGGAGGAAAGAUUGAGAGAGGGGGGCUAUUUUGUUCAUUGAGAAGAGUUAAGGUCUUUGGGCAUUGGGAGGUGAAGACUAUCGAAGCUCUGCAAUCAUACUGUAAUAUGGGGAAUUUCCCUAUUUUCUCCAGAAUCCUGAUCCAGUUUCUAUCACACUCAUUGACAUGUGGAUCAUUGUCAUUGAAUAUAAAGAUUGACCAGGACAAAAAGGUCGACCAUUGACAUCGGCCCGAGGCUUAAAGUAGCAGUUGAAGUAGCAAUUGGCCUCUAGUAUGAACCUCAAAGCAGCAAAUAUGUUGUUAGAUACAGAUGACUUGAAUGCACGUAUAAGGCGAUUAGUGAUUAACCUUCACAGAUUUAUGAUUCAGGUUGGAACUAUUUAACAGAUUCCUAAUGGUGGGAUCUUGGGUUAUCAUGCACCAGUGUUGGCUGCCAACGAAUGUCUCUUGUUAUGUGUCUUAUCUGUUAAAAGAGUGAGAAACAUCCAACUGCAUUCAAUGUGGAAAGUUGACUUGGUAAUUAUUAUUAUGGGAAGGAUGGAGUGGGUUGUUCGUGUAUGUCUCUGUCCUUAAAAAAUGCUGUAAUGAUUCAUUUUCAUUGAACCGAAAAUAAAAGCCCUACUCAAUUUGAUUUUUACGGAGGUGACCUCCUCCCAAUUCAA